This is a non-coding RNA of Potamilus streckersoni, 86 nucleotides long. The record is from the annotation of a GenBank genome assembly. Lineage: Eukaryota; Metazoa; Mollusca; Bivalvia; Unionida; Unionidae.
GUUUUGGUGGCCUAGUGGUUUAGAGCGUCCGCCCAGUAACCGGCAGGUCGCGUGGUUCGAACCCCGGUCGAGUCAUAACUAAGACA